GCGAUGUGAGGUAGUAGGUUGUAUAGUACGGAUACAUAAAUAUUACAUACUACUGUACGAUCUGCUAACUUGUAUUGC
RNAcentral lists this microRNA precursor (78 nucleotides) under Mayetiola destructor (Hessian fly). RNAcentral's name for it is "let-7 microRNA precursor". Lineage: Eukaryota; Metazoa; Arthropoda; Insecta; Diptera; Cecidomyiidae. The record is from RNAcentral.